GCGGUCCGGCCGGGAACUCAAAGGAGACUGCCAGUGAUAAACUGGAGGAAGGUGGGGAUGACGUCAAGUCAUCAUGGCCCUUACGACCAGGGCUACACACGUGCUACAAUGGCGCAUACAAAGAGAAGCGACCUCGCGAGAGCAAGCGGACCUCAUAAAGUGCGUCGUAGUCCGGAUUGGAGUCUGCAACUCGACUCCAUGAAGUCGGAAUCGCUAGUAAUCGUGGAUCAGAAUGCCACGGUGAAUACGUUCCCGGGCCUUGUACACACCGCCCGUCACACCAUGGGAGUGGGUUGCAAAAGAAGUAGGUAGCUUAACCUUCGGGAGGGCGCUUACCACUUUGUGAUUCAUGACUGGGGUGAAGUCGUAACAAGGUAACCGUAGGGGAACCUGCGGU
RNAcentral lists this ribosomal RNA (397 nucleotides) under Escherichia coli. Its description in RNAcentral is "bacterial SSU rRNA". It matches the Rfam family "Bacterial small subunit ribosomal RNA", at positions 1121 to 1518 of the family's 1533-position model. Lineage: Bacteria; Pseudomonadati; Pseudomonadota; Gammaproteobacteria; Enterobacterales; Enterobacteriaceae. The record is from RNAcentral.